UGCAAGUCGAGCGGACAGAAGGGAGCUUGCUCCCGGAUGUUAGCGGCGGACGGGUGAGUAACACGUGGGUAACCUGCCUGUAAGACUGGGAUAACUCGGAAACCGGAGCUAAUACCGGAUAGUUCCUUGAACCGCAUGGUUCAAGGAUGAAAGACGGUUUCGGCUGUCACUUACAGAUGGACCCGCGGCGCAUUAGCUAGUUGGUGAGGUAACGGCUCACCAAGGCGACGAUGCGUAGCCGACCUGAGAGGGUGAUCGGCCACACUGGGACUGAGACACGGCCCAGACUCCUCGGGAGGCAGCAGUAGGGAAUCUUCCGCAAUGGACGAAAGUCUGACGGAGCAACGCCGCGUGAGUGAUGAAGGUUUUCGGAUCGUAAAGCUCUGUUGUUAGGGAAGAACAAGUGCAAGAGUAACUGCUUGCACCUUGACGGUACCUAACCAGAAAGCCACGGCUAACUACGUGCCAGCAGCCGCGGUAAUACGUAGGUGGCAAGCGUUGUCCGGAAUUAUUGGGCGUAAAGGGCUCGCAGGCGGUUUCUUAAGUCUGAUGUGAAAGCCCCCGGCUCAACCGGGGAGGGUCAUUGGAAACUGGGAAACUUGAGUGCAGAAGAGGAGAGUGGAAUUCCACGUGUAGCGGUGAAAUGCGUAGAGAUGUGGAGGAACACCAGUGGCGAAGGCGACUCUCUGGUCUGUAACUGACGCUGAGGAGCGAAAGCGUGGGGAGCGAACAGGAUUAGAUACCCUGGUAGUCCACGCCGUAAACGAUGAGUGCUAAGUGUUAGGGGGUUUCCGCCCCUUAGUGCUGCAGCUAACGCAUUAAGCACUCCGCCUGGGGAGUACGGUCGCAAGACUGAAACUCAAAGGAAUUGACGGGGGCCCGCACAAGCGGUGGAGCAUGUGGUUUAAUUCGAAGCAACGCGAAGAACCUUACCAGGUCUUGACAUCCUCUGACAACCCUAGAGAUAGGGCUUUCCCUUCGGGGACAGAGUGACAGGUGGUGCAUGGUUGUCGUCCUCGUGUCGUGAGAUGUUGGGUUAAGUCCCGCAACGAGCGCAACCUGAUCUUAGUUGCCAGCAUUUAGUUGGGCACUCUAAGGUGACUGCCGGUGACAAACCGGAGGAAGUGGGGAUGACGUCAAAUCAUCAGCCCCU
Molecule: ribosomal RNA, 1153 nt
Filed under: Bacillus xiamenensis
Lineage: Bacteria; Bacillati; Bacillota; Bacilli; Caryophanales; Bacillaceae
Description: bacterial SSU rRNA
Rfam family: Bacterial small subunit ribosomal RNA
Source: RNAcentral